GAUGAACGCUGGCGGCGUGCCUAAUACAUGCAAGUCGAGCGAAUGGAUUAAGAGCUUGCUCUUAUGAAGUUAGCGGCGGACGGGUGAGUAACACGUGGGUAACCUGCCCAUAAGACUGGGAUAACUCCGGGAAACCGGGGCUAAUACCGGAUAACAUUUUGAACCGCAUGGUUCGAAACUGAAAGGCGGCUUCGGCUGUCACUUAUGGAUGGACACGCGUCGCAUUAGCUAGUUGGUGAGGUAACGGCUCACCAAGGCAACGAUGCGUAGCCGACCUGAGAGGGUGAUCGGCCACACUGGGACUGAGACACGGCCCAGAAUCCUACGGGAGGCAGCAGUAGGGAAUCUUCCGCAAUGGACGAAAGUCUGACGGAGCAACGCCGCGUGAGUGAUGAAGGCUUUCGGGUCGUAAAACUCUGUUGUUAGGGAAGAACAAGUGCUAGUCGAAUAAGCUGGCACCUUGACGGUACCUAACCAGAAAGCCACGGCUAACUACGUGCCAGCCGCCGCCGUAA
RNAcentral lists this ribosomal RNA (515 nucleotides) under uncultured bacterium. Its description in RNAcentral is "partial 16S ribosomal RNA". It matches the Rfam family "Bacterial small subunit ribosomal RNA", at positions 28 to 523 of the family's 1533-position model. The record is from RNAcentral.